This 490-nucleotide ribosomal RNA is filed under the name uncultured bacterium. Its description in RNAcentral is "partial 16S ribosomal RNA". It matches the Rfam family "Bacterial small subunit ribosomal RNA", at positions 30 to 507 of the family's 1533-position model. The record is from RNAcentral.
AUUGAACGCUGGCGGCAGGCCUAACACAUGCAAGUCGAACGGUAACAGGAAGAGGCUUGCUUCUUUGCUGACGAGUGGCGGACGGGUGAGUAAUGUCUGGGAAACUGCCUGAUGGAGGGGGAUAACUACUGGAAACGGUAGCUAAUACCGCAUAAUGUCGCAAGACCAAAGAGGGGGACCUUCGGGCCUCUUGCCAUCGGAUGUGCCCAGAUGGGAUUAGCUAGUAGGUGGGGUAACGGCUCACCUAGGCGACGAUCCCUAGCUGGUCUGAGAGGAUGACCAGCCACACUGGAACUGAGACACGGUCCAGACUCCUACGGGAGGCAGCAGUGGGGAAUAUUGCACAAUGGGCGCAAGCCUGAUGCAGCUAUGCCGCGUGUAUGAAGAAGGCCUUCGGGUUGUAAAGUACUUUCAGCGGGGAGGAAGGGAGUAAAGUUAAUACCUUGGCUCAUUGACGUUACCCGCAGAAGAAGCACCGGCUAACUCCGUG